RNAcentral lists this transfer RNA (63 nucleotides) under Meloe proscarabaeus. RNAcentral's name for it is "tRNA-Gly". The record is from RNAcentral. Lineage: Eukaryota; Metazoa; Arthropoda; Insecta; Coleoptera; Meloidae.
AUUUGUAUAGUAUAAAUAUUAUAUUUGACUUCCAAUCAAAAGAUCUAGUUUUUAGUAUAAAUA